GACGAACGCUGGCGGCGUGCCUAACACAUGCAAGUCGAACGGGAUCCAAGGAGUGCUUGCACUCCUGAAGAUCUAGUGGCGAACGGGUGAGUAACACGUGAGAAACCUGCCCCAGACUCUGGGAUAACCCAAGGAAACUUGAGCUAAUACCGGAUAUUCUCCUUUGGUCGCAUGGCCAGUUGAGGAAAGUUUUUCGGUCUGGGAGGGUCUCGCGGCCUAUCAGCUUGUUGGUGGGGUAACGGCCCACCAAGGCGACGACGGGUAGCUGGUUUGAGAGAACGAUCAGCCACACUGGAACUGAGACACGGUCCAGACUCCUACGGGAGGCAGCAGUGGGGAAUCUUGCGCAAUGGGCGAAAGCCUGACGCAGCAACGCCGCGUGCGGGAUGAAGGCCUUCGGGUUGUAAACCGCUUUCAGCAGGGACGAAAAUGACGGUACCUGCAGAAGAAGCCCCGGCUAACUACGUGCCAGCCGCCGCCGUAACAC
RNAcentral lists this ribosomal RNA (487 nucleotides) under uncultured bacterium. RNAcentral describes it as "bacterial SSU rRNA". It matches the Rfam family "Bacterial small subunit ribosomal RNA", at positions 28 to 526 of the family's 1533-position model. The record is from RNAcentral.